UACAGAGGUCUCAAGCGUUGUUCGGAUUUAUUGGGCGUAAAGGGUGCGUAGGUGGCGUGGUAAGUCGGGUGUGAAAUUUCGGAGCUUAACUCCGAAACUGCAUUCGAUACUGCCGUGCUUGAGGACUGGAGAGGAGACUGGAAUUUACGGUGUAGCAGUGAAAUGCGUAGAGAUCGUAAGGAAGACCAGUGGCGAAGGCGGGUCUCUGGACAGUUCCUGACACUGAGGCACGAAGGCCAGGGGAGCAAACGGG
Molecule: ribosomal RNA, 253 nt
Filed under: uncultured bacterium
Lineage: Bacteria
Description: partial 16S ribosomal RNA
Rfam family: Bacterial small subunit ribosomal RNA
Source: RNAcentral